UUGUUUUUUAAUAAAAAAUGUUUUCCAGACAUUGCUAUUGGAGUCCUGCCAAUUGGUUUAUGUUUUUAUUGUAGUAUGGUACUUAAACUGAACACAUUACCUUGGAAGCGUUUUUUUUAUUUAUUAAUAAAGCCAACAUUUUGCUUCCUGUGUCUUAUAAGAAUUUAUCUUUUUUAGUUUUUGUUUUUAUCUUUUAAGAGCAUUCUCUUCGUUAUAUUUAGAUAUACUGCUUGAGAAAAAGAGUUGUUACUCUGGAAUUUUCUGGAUGUAGCCUCUUCUGUAGUUUGCUACAGCUCUCAUCUGGUUUGUGUAUGUAGCUUUUAUGCCACAUUUGAACCUGGUAACAUACAGCAACCAGGAAUGCUGAGAGAGUCCCUCAGCUGCAGUGAUGUAGGUUCUGCAACAAAUUCCUUGUUCUUACAGGACUCUCACUCAGGUAGUUCAAUUUUCAGAAGAGUGCACUGCCCAGAGAGUCUUCUGAUUUUACUGUUUCAGCACUCUAAAAAUCAAGGUACAUGGUGAGGAUCCAGUACAAGGAUCAUUAACCACAGGUCUCUUUAGUGGUCCUUUUAGAAGCUGCAGCAUAAACUCCUAUUGAAAGCUCCUCUAAAAUCUCAAAGCAUGACUAAAAGUCAUUGCUAGAGAAAAACUAAAAACUGAUUUCAUUUUUCUCUUUUCCAGUUAGCCAAUUUGAUUCUGAUGAAAUUGAGGUAUUGACAGCUGAUUUCAUGAUUUAUAAAAUGAGAAGCUGCCUCAAAACUAAUGAAUUUGUGACCACUCCAUCUAUCACUUACCUACUUCCCUCCUGAGCCAGUCUUGACUACAGACCAGCUGACAGAGGGAAGCUCUUUUUGUGAUAGUAUGAGCAAAUAUGCAUAGAAAUAAGAAAGGUCCAUCAGAGAUGUAAUUUUCAUGUUCUGGACAGGGGAGGCUUUAAGCAUUUUCUUACAUAAAGAACUCAGAUUCUAGAAUAAGCUGUACAGCAAUACUGGUCUUGAUUUUUUAUUUUUUUUUUAAUAAUGGAAAAUUUUGUUCCGUAAGAAAGAGAUUAUAUCCUUCAAAUAUUUCUAGAGUCCUUGAAAGAAAAACCUUGCUGGGAUGCCGGUAAGAAGGGAACUUUAUAAACCUGUGCAAAUCACUGUCCUUGCUCAAAUCUCUUGUAAAAAGUUGAAGAUGCACUGAUAUCUACCAAAAAAAAAAAAAGAUCAACAACAGGACAAACUCCCAGUUUGCUGUGAUUCUUGCCUGUCAUGAUGCCAAUACUCUGUCUCACUGUUAUUUCCCUAAUCUGUCCAUCCUUAUCUGCUGUAUCUCAUCUAAUGUGCAGAUGUUAGGCUCUGUGGGACAGUGUCCUGGUUUUUAUACUAUGAUUGUGCUUGGGAUGUCCCAUGAAAUAUAUCAAAAGGUGCUACAGCAAUAUGACUGAUAGCAAUCCUCCUGUUGCCUGUUUUCUGUAGUUCUGCCAUGCAGCCAAUGUACUCCCAAAUUGUUCUCAAUCAGAAAUGAUUUCAGCACGAGAAAUUCCUUCAGUUACAUUGCGUAGGAAAAUAUGAUCUUUCACAGUAAUCUUCUUUACACUACUGCAAUCUGUUGUAAUUGAACAAGGCUGCUUAUGACCAAGACCCUGAGCAUCUCAGUUUCUCUCUGAGUUUGGACCUGUUUUGGCUGAGGGAAGGACCAGGAAACCUCAGGAGGAUUCUUCCACUCCAAAUUAUCACAUAUUUUUCAAGGUAAGGUCAUGAAUCCGAGAACAAAUAUGAUACAUAAGGAAAAAUGCCUGUUUCACAUCUUAACAACUUUCAAAUUAUCUAACUUCUACUGUAUAAGAUACUG
Molecule: long non-coding RNA, 1833 nt
Organism: Pezoporus occidentalis (night parrot)
Lineage: Eukaryota; Metazoa; Chordata; Aves; Psittaciformes; Psittacidae
Exons: 3
Source: RefSeq, a predicted model, not a curated record